RNAcentral lists this ribosomal RNA (1926 nucleotides) under Drosophila melanogaster (fruit fly). RNAcentral describes it as "SSU rRNA". It matches the Rfam family "Eukaryotic small subunit ribosomal RNA". The record is from RNAcentral. Lineage: Eukaryota; Metazoa; Arthropoda; Insecta; Diptera; Drosophilidae.
UCUGGUUGAUCCUGCCAGUAGUUAUAUGCUUGUCUCAAAGAUUAAGCCAUGCAUGUCUAAGUACACACGAAUUAAAGUGAAACCGCAAAAGGCUCAUUAUAUCAGUUAUGGUUCCUUAGAUCGUUAACAGUUACUUGGAUAACUGUGGUAAUUCUAGAGCUAAUACAUGCAAUUAAAACAUGAACCUUAUGGGACAUGUGCUUUUAUUAGGCUAAAACCAAGCGAUCGCAAGAUCGUUAUAUUGGUUGAACUCUAGAUAACAUGCAGAUCGUAUGGUCUUGUACCGACGACAGAUCUUUCAAAUGUCUGCCCUAUCAACUUUUGAUGGUAGUAUCUAGGACUACCAUGGUUGCAACGGGUAACGGGGAAUCAGGGUUCGAUUCCGGAGAGGGAGCCUGAGAAACGGCUACCACAUCUAAGGAAGGCAGCAGGCGCGUAAAUUACCACUCCCAGCUCGGGGAGGUAGCUGACGAAAAAUAACAAUACAGGACUCAUAUCCGAGGCCCUGUAAUUGGAAUGAGUACACUUUAAAUCUUUAACAAGGACCAAUUGGAGGGCAAGUCUGGUGCCAGCAGCCGCGGUAAUUCCAGCUCCAAUAGCGUAUAUAUUAAAGUUGUUGCGGUUAAAACGUUCGUAGUUGAACUUGUGCUUCAUACGGGUAGUACAACUUACAAUUGUGGUUAGUACUAUACCUUUAUGUAUGUAAGCGUAUUACCGUGGAGUUCUUAUAUGUGAUUAAAUACUUGUAUUUUUUCAUAUGUUCCUCCUAUUUAAAAACCUGCAUUAGUGCUCUUAAACGAGUGUUAUUGUGGGCCGGUACUAUUACUUUGAACAAAUUAGAGUGCUUAAAGCAGGCUUCAAAUGCCUGAAUAUUCUGUGCAUGGGAUAAUGAAAUAAGACCCUCUGUCUUACGAUCGCGAGAGCUGUGAAAUUCUUGGACCGUCGUAAGACUAACUUAAGCGAAAGCAUUUGCCAAAGAUGUUUUCAUUAAUCAAGAACGAAAGUUAGAGGUUCGAAGGCGAUCAGAUACCGCCCUAGUUCUAACCAUAAACGAUGCCAGCUAGCAAUUGGGUGUAGCUACUUUUAUGGCUCUCUCAGUCGCUUCCGGAAACCAAAGCUUUUGGGCUCCGGGGGAAGUAUGGUUGCAAAGCUGAAACUUAAGAAUUAAGAAUUGAGAGCGAAGGCCACCACCGAGGAUGGAGCCUGCGGCUUAAUUUGACUCAACACGGGAAAACUUACCAGGUCCGAACAUAAGUGUGUAAGACAGAUUGAUAGCUCUUUCUCGAAUCUAUGGUGGUGGUGCAUGGCCGUUCUUAGUUCGUGGAGUGAUUUGUCUGGUUAAUUCCGAUAACGAACGAGACUCAAAUAUAUUAAAUAGAUAUCUUCGAUUAUGGUGCUGAAGCUUAUGUAGCCUUCAUUCAUGUUGGCAGUAAAAUGCUUAUUGUGUUUGAAUGUGUUUAUGUAAGUGGAGCCGUACCUGUUGGUUUGUCCCAUUAUAAGGACACUAGCUUCUUAAAUGGACAAAUUGCGUCUAGCAAUAAUGAGAUUGAGCAAUAACAGGUCUGUGAUGCCCUUAGAUGUCCUGGGCUGCACGCGCGCUACAAUGAAAGUAUCAACGUGUAUUUCCUAGACCGAGAGGUCCGGGUAAACCGCUGAACCACUUUCAUGCUUGGGAUUGUGAACUGAAACUGUUCACAUGAACUUGGAAUUCCCAGUAAGUGUGAGUCAUUAACUCGCAUUGAUUACGUCCCUGCCCUUUGUACACACCGCCCGUCGCUACUACCGAUUGAAUUAUUUAGUGAGGUCUCCGGACGUGAUCACUGUGACGCCUUGCGUGUUACGGUUGUUUCGCAAAAGUUGACCGAACUUGAUUAUUUAGAGGAAGUAAAAGUCGUAACAAGGUUUCCGUAGGUGAACCUGCGGAAG